This 271-nucleotide long non-coding RNA is filed under the name Trifolium pratense (red clover). RNAcentral's name for it is "long non-coding RNA (TPRA_LNC006000)". Lineage: Eukaryota; Viridiplantae; Streptophyta; Magnoliopsida; Fabales; Fabaceae. The record is from RNAcentral.
CUGAAUCCAAGAACCACAGCUCUAGCUUAUCAUCAGAUUCUAUUGAAUUAUUGACUGCAGUCUCUUGAGCCAUCAAAAGAAUUUCUUUUGUCUCAUCAAAUUGUGCAUAGUUAGCAUGAUCUUCUUCCCAACUUGGGCAAUCAGCUUGAUAAUGAUCAAGUUUGUGACAUUUGUAGCAUUCCACUGAAUCUUUAUUGAUUGAAGCACCUCUUCCCCCUCUUCCUCUGGCCCUACCUCGACCUCUGCUGUAAGAACCUUCUCCUCUACCACC